UGGGCAACCUGCCCUGUACUGUGGAAUAAUCAUUGGAAACGAUGACUAAUACCGCAUGUGGUCCUCGGAAGGCAUCUUCUGAGGAAGAAAGGAUUUAUUCGGUACAGGAUGGGCCCGCAUCUGAUUAGCUAGUUGGUGAGAUAACAGCCCACCAAGGCGACGAUCAGUAGCCGGACUGAGAGGUUGACCGGCCACAUUGGGACUGAGAUACGGCCCAG
Molecule: ribosomal RNA, 218 nt
Filed under: uncultured bacterium
Lineage: Bacteria
Description: partial 16S ribosomal RNA
Rfam family: Bacterial small subunit ribosomal RNA
Source: RNAcentral